UCGAAAACUCCUUUUCGACUUAUGUGUACACCUUGGCCAAGGAUUUCAUCAUUGACUUAAUUGAAUGAAACGCAGAUCAUAAUCUCCUACUAUCUAAGAGUGACGAAUCCUUUAUUGAUCAAUCACAACCUUCAUACGAUUCUUGACGUACCCGAACGAUGUCGUAUUAGCGGCCCUUUUCAGAGCAACAUCCAACACCGUCAAAGUAUGACUGUCCUCAUAUAAGGUACCAUGACGACCUCAAGUCAAAGGACCAAUUUCACUACCGAACGUUAGAGAUUAACCACCGACACUCAGAUAGUUAUCCAUGUGGAAUCUCUCGACGGGUCUCCAAUGUUUUGUUCUAUAACAAACAUCCACGUGUUCAUUUAAGUGUCACCACACUUUAACUUGUGAGAUCAGCUACUUACUUCACAAGUAAGAAAUGCCACACGUG
RNAcentral lists this long non-coding RNA (436 nucleotides) under Olea europaea (common olive). Its description in RNAcentral is "long non-coding RNA (OEUR_LNC000346)". Lineage: Eukaryota; Viridiplantae; Streptophyta; Magnoliopsida; Lamiales; Oleaceae. The record is from RNAcentral.